Molecule: ribosomal RNA, 253 nt
Filed under: uncultured bacterium
Lineage: Bacteria
Description: partial 16S ribosomal RNA
Rfam family: Bacterial small subunit ribosomal RNA
Source: RNAcentral
UACGAAGGGGGCUAGCGUUGUUCGGAAUUACUGGGCGUAAAGGGCGCGUAGGCGGCGUGUCAAGUCAGGCGUGAAAGCCCGGGGCUCAACCCCGGAACGGCAUCCGAGACGGCCAGGCUGGAGACCGGGAGAGGAGAGUGGAAUAGCCAGUGUAGAGGUGAAAUUCGUAGAUAUUGGCUGGAACACCGGUGGCGAAAGCGGCUCUCUGGCCCGGUUCUGACGCUGAGGCGCGAAAGCGUGGGGAGCAAACAGG